GGUCACAUGGUGUAACGGUUAGCACAUCGGAUUUUGAUCAGAUAUGAGUUCCGGGGACCUGGGUUCGACUCCCAGUGAGACCU
This 83-nucleotide transfer RNA is filed under the name Sphaerosporella brunnea. It matches the Rfam family "tRNA". Rfam says of the family: Transfer RNA (tRNA) molecules are approximately 80 nucleotides in length. Their secondary structure includes four short double-helical elements and three loops (D, anti-codon, and T loops). Further hydrogen bonds mediate the characteristic L-shaped molecular structure. tRNAs have two regions of fundamental functional importance: the anti-codon, which is responsible for specific mRNA codon recognition, and the 3' end, to which the tRNAs corresponding amino acid is attached (by aminoacyl-tRNA synthetases). tRNAs cope with the degeneracy of the genetic code in two manners: having more than one tRNA (with a specific anti-codon) for a particular amino acid; and 'wobble' base-pairing, i.e. permitting non-standard base-pairing at the 3rd anti-codon position. Lineage: Eukaryota; Fungi; Ascomycota; Pezizomycetes; Pezizales; Pyronemataceae. The record is from Rfam by way of RNAcentral.